RNAcentral lists this ribosomal RNA (301 nucleotides) under uncultured bacterium. RNAcentral describes it as "partial 16S ribosomal RNA". It matches the Rfam family "Bacterial small subunit ribosomal RNA", at positions 509 to 807 of the family's 1533-position model. The record is from RNAcentral.
CAGUCGCCGCGGGAAUACGUAGGUGGCAAGCGUUGUCCGGAAUUAUUGGGCGUAAAGGGCUCGCAGGCGGUUUCUUAAGUCUGAUGUGAAAGCCCCCGGCUCAACCGGGGAGGGUCAUUGGAAACUGGGAAACUUGAGUGCAGAAGAGGAGAGUGGAAUUCCACGUGUAACGGUGAAAUGCGUAGAGAUGUGGAGGAACACCAGUGGCGAAGGCGACUCUCUGGUCUGUAACUGACGCUGAGGAGCGAAAGCGUGGGGAGCGAACAGGAUUAGAUACCCCAGUAGUCCCUGUCUCUUAUAC